Molecule: ribosomal RNA, 908 nt
Filed under: uncultured bacterium
Lineage: Bacteria
Description: bacterial SSU rRNA
Rfam family: Bacterial small subunit ribosomal RNA
Source: RNAcentral
ACGCUGGCGGCAGGCUUAACACAUGCAAGUCGAACGGUAACAGGGAUUAGCUUGCUAAUCUGCUGACGAGUGGCGGACGGGUGAGUAAUGCUUGGGAAUCCGGCUUAUGGAGGGGGAUAACUACGGGAAACUGUAGCUAAUACCGCGUAAAAUCUUCGGAUUAAAGGGUGGGACUUUCGAGCCACCUGCCAUAAGAUGAGCCCAAGUGGGAUUAGGUAGUUGGUUAGGUAAAGGCUGACCAAGCCGACGAUCUCUAGCUGGUCUGAGAGGAUGACCAGCCACACUGGAACUGAGACACGGUCCAGACUCCUACGGGAGGCAGCAGUGGGGAAUAUUGCACAAUGGGGGGAACCCUGAUGCAGCCAUGCCGCGUGAAUGAAGAAGGCCUUCGGGUUGUAAAGUUCUUUCGGUGACGAGGAAGGUUGAUAGGUUAAUAGCCUAUCAAAUUGACGUUAAUCACAGAAGAAGCACCGGCUAACUCCGUGCCAGCAGCCGCGGUAAUACGGGGGGUGCGAGCGUUAAUCGGAAUAACUGGGCGUAAAGGGCACGCAGGCGGUGACUUAAGUGAGAUGUGAAAGCCCCGAGCUUAACUUGGGAAUUGCAUUUCAUACUGGGUCGCUAGAGUACUUUAGGGAGGGGUAGAAUUCCACGUGUAGCGGUGAAAUGCGUAGAGAUGUGGAGGAAUACCGAAGGCGAAGGCAGCCCCUUGGGAAUGUACUGACGCUCAUGUGCGAAAGCGUGGGGAGCAAACAGGAUUAGAUACCCUGGUAGUCCACGCUGUAAACGAUGUCGAUUUGGGGAUUGGGCUUUGAGCUUGGUGCCCGUAGCUAACGUGAUAAAUCGACCGCCUGGGGAGUACGGCCGCAAGGUUAAAACUCAAAUGAAUUGACGGGGGCCCGCACAAGCGG